UCCCUGGUGGCUCAGAUGGUAAAGAAUCUGCCUGCAAUGCAGGAGACCUGGGUUCGAUUCCUGGGUCGGGAA
RNAcentral lists this transfer RNA (72 nucleotides) under Capra hircus (goat). It matches the Rfam family "tRNA". From Rfam's summary of the family: Transfer RNA (tRNA) molecules are approximately 80 nucleotides in length. Their secondary structure includes four short double-helical elements and three loops (D, anti-codon, and T loops). Lineage: Eukaryota; Metazoa; Chordata; Mammalia; Artiodactyla; Bovidae. RNAcentral also lists the same sequence under 2 other names. The record is from Rfam by way of RNAcentral.